Molecule: non-coding RNA, 3074 nt
Organism: Styela clava
Lineage: Eukaryota; Metazoa; Chordata; Ascidiacea; Stolidobranchia; Styelidae
Source: RefSeq, a predicted model, not a curated record
CACGAAAUGGACCCAUGGAUCGUUGUGACAUUUUGUAUGAAAAAAUAUAUAUUAGUUACCUGACCAAAACUGUGAAAACGAGGCGCUUUUAUCAACUCUACUUUAAUUAAUAUCUGUCUGAGCGGCUGCUAAAAUUGUAAUUGUACGUCAUAGAUGACUUAUUUCUGAUUGGUUAUGAUUGAAGGAAUAAAUAAGGAAGUCGAUUCUCAGGGAGAAAUGGUUGUUUUUCCGGCCCUUGACCCAGGAAAAUUUCACUUAUACCUUUCUAUUGCAGGAUAACCAGUUAACCGAGAGUUAUUUUGCUAUCUGAUAUCCGGAUAUUAUUAUGACGGUUAACCGGAUGAUGAAGCAGUAUAAAUAAUGCAUAUGCGCAUUAGUGAUUUUUAUAUUUUUUGUUGAGUGGCGACUGACAUCUCACCACAGGAGAGUUGAUUCCGAUUUCUUUCUUUUUCUGUCGUCAUUCAUUUGCCAUACCCUCCCUAGGUACAUCGCUACUUACGCUAAAAUAAAAGCACUCCUCAUCUAGAUAUGGAAAUAAGGGGUGAGCUGCAUGAAUGAAUCCAGUUUUAAUUCGUAAUUUUGCUAUCUUUGCGAAUUUAUUUGACCUAUUAUUGCAAUUUCAAUGACUAUAAUUUAUUUAGUACAUUAAAUAAAGAUAUUAAUAUAUCAACAAAAUCGGGAGAAAGUCGGGUGCAGUCUCGUCGGUUUAUAACGCCGAAAAUUGUUUAGAACGCCAUUCUAAUUCUAUAUCCACAUUUUGUAUCAAUUAAAAUCUAUGUUCAUCCUCUCAUUUCAUUGAUGUAAUUUUAUACGCUGUGCAGUGAAUUAUCGUGAGAAGUAUACAUCCUAAUCAGACGUAUAUAUCUCUCUUGUUCGCUUACAGUAGUUUCGUUCUGUAAAGUGGUGCAGCGAUAUAAUCAACCGCACUAAAAUACAAAAUGGUAUGUUGCAUCGUAAGUUUAAAUGUCCUGAAGCCUGAAAAGCCUGAUACGGCUUCCCAACUUUCAAUGAAAAAUGACAGCGAGAAAAUCUCGAGCAACCAGUCAUGUCCAAUUGAAUCUCUCGAGUGAGGCGCUCCGGCACAAGGUUUGGAAAUUUGAUCAGCCCAUACUCACGAGGAGUUAUUGAUUCAAAUCCACUUUAAUAUUCAACAUCAGUGUAAUGAAUUUUUCGGGCUCACGUGCGGCGAAAUUCAUAUUGCAUAUUUAAACAACUUUGUUGCACUUUUCCUAACAUAACGAAAUAUAACAAUGAGACGUCAGCAUCUUCAUGCCUGAUGAAGCUUUUGAAAAGUACUUACUUUAUUUUAUUAUUGUUAUUUAGUUAGUUUUCAAUCCAUCACUUCGAAUUCGUGAAUAUUCAACGCUCAACUGUGGCAAACUUUUUCAAUUUCGAGGGUGCAAAUAAUUAGACAUUCUCAUAGAGUGCCAAUAUGAAUCAACGUUGAAACUCGUUUUUCUGUAUAGCUAUGAAAUAAUAUAUCCUUUUAUCUGUUCAGUGGCUUAAUAUUCUUUGUUGAGUAGCUUAUGUCCUUCAAAAAUAGUUUUCGAGGAAGACAUUGUGUUGGGCACGUGCAUGAAGAAUCAAUCUGAAGGAUUUUGGAAAAAAAUAUAAAAAGUGCAAGGAGUCAGCACUUGCAGACAAAAACGGGGAGAAAUACCGGUUUUAGCCCUAAACUAUGAUUGACACAAAUUGAAUUUAUUGGCGAAUAAUGACGAGGCAGUUUUAUCAUUUUCUAUCUUACUAUUGGUAUUAAAAAUAAAUUCAUCUAUUUUAUAUGGUCACACCGUAAAAUUAGUUCACAUCUUCCCCGUCUGGAAUAAUCUUCAACUGCAGUCCCAUGACGUAAGCAUAAUAUAUAUUAAAAACUUUUUUGCUAAAUUGAAAUCUAAAACGAUUUUAUAAAUCCAAUCUGAGCCUGUGCUAUAUAGCGGUAUUACCAAUAGGGCAUGUUCUUUCUUUGUGAUGAUUUUCUUUGGUACGACUAUGAAUCGUCAUUUUUAGCACGAAUGUGAUAGUAUGAUUUAGGCCUGCGGCAAGGCUACAUAUUUUAAGGUAUGACAGGAGGUCGACCACGUGUAUAUAUAUAUAAUGAUGGACGGUCAUAGGUACACUAUUACUGUUUGAUCAGCUAUCAAGUUUUACCAAGUUAAAUAAUAUGUCUAUGAUUGAAGCAUGUCUGCUGGUUUGCUUGUUUUUGCCCUGUGGAAGAGUUCCGGUUAAAACCCAUGAAAAAUACUUGAAGACCGUCACCGUGAAAAAUGCAACUAUGAGCUAUGUUGAUACAGACGGUCAGUUCGAACACACUGUUGUGUUUUUACAUGGAAAUCCGACUUCGUCGUAUCUUUGGAGAAACAUCUACCCACAAAUUUCGUCGAUCGCUCGAUGCUUUGCACCCGAUUUAAUUGGAAUGGGACGAUCUGAUAAAGUGGAAAAUUUGAUGUACACAUUUGCGGAUCAUUAUCAGUAUUUUUCUGAAUGGAUGGAUAAAGUAGUUAAAACAGAUAAAGUUAUUCUUGUGUUACAUGACUGGGGUUCUAUACUUGGAUUUCAUUGGGCAAAUAUGAAUCGUGCAAGAGUUCAGUCUAUUGUUCACAUGGAGAGUGUUGUCGCGCCGUUUUCCACACAACAUCAGACCGUGUUUUUCCGUCAAAUAAGAUCCGAAGCGGGAGAACAGAUGGUAUUGGUCAACAACCUUUUCGUCGAGAAUUUCGUACCAUUGAACAUCAUUCGAAACCUGACUGAAGAAGAGAUGAAUGAAUACCGCAGACCUUUCGUCGAUCCUGGAGAAGAUAGAAGGCCUACUUUGACUUUUCCGAGACAAGUACCCAUCCUAGUUCGCAGACAACUAUUUUAUACCGGCUUACAAUCAAGAUGAUAAUUUCAUGAUAUCGGCUUCGGAAAUAUCGGCGCAUCGGUAUCGGCGAAACAAUGGUGAGGGUCCCGAUGACGUGAUGAUGGCGGUGAAUGCAUACGCCAAAUGGUUGUCAACAACUUCUCAUAUACCUAAGAUGCUGAUUCUCGCAAAACCUGGAGGAUUGUCCAACAUCACCAAAGAAGUUGCAAAAGAUUGG